CUUGCCAGUUUUUGUUGGCAUUUGCAGUGCAAACAUACUUUUGCUUGUUUUGCUGGAUUUUUUUAAGCGUUACUUUGAAACAAAGAUACUGAAUUUUUCAUGAAGCCUCAAAAUAUUUUUUGCUACAGUUCUGUGUGAAGCUAGUGAUAACUGCAUGAUGGUGAGAUCAUUUGUGACUCCUUUUCUUCUUAGUUUAGGAGUGAUGGAACCUGAAGACUGAAUGCAGACCUCUCUAAGCUCACCAAGUUCAUGCUCACUAAGCUUGCAUGCUGUGGAUGAUCUUUUCUAACAUACUUGAGAUGUAUCUGAGUAGCGAGGCCCCCUGCACACACAGCCCCUAGAAAUCGUUGUUUGCAUCGCUGAGUCUCGGUGAGUUGUCUCUAUCCUAUUGCAUUUAAUUGGAUUGUGUUGCAGUUCUAUCUUCUUCACUGGGGAGU
This 437-nucleotide long non-coding RNA is filed under the name Serinus canaria (Common canary). RNAcentral describes it as "lncRNA (ENSSCAG00000001841.1)". The record is from RNAcentral. Lineage: Eukaryota; Metazoa; Chordata; Aves; Passeriformes; Fringillidae.